UUAGUCACAUGUUUUUUUUCUCAUUGCAGAGAAGAAAUUGAGAAACAGAGGGCUCAUGAAAGGUACAUGAAGUUGCAAGAGCAGGGGAAAACAGAACAAGCAAGAAAGGAUUUGGAGCGUUUGGCUCUUAUCAGACAACAAAGGGCA
This is a long non-coding RNA of Helianthus annuus (common sunflower), 147 nucleotides long. RefSeq lists it as uncharacterized. The transcript has 2 exons. Lineage: Eukaryota; Viridiplantae; Streptophyta; Magnoliopsida; Asterales; Asteraceae. The record is from RefSeq and is a predicted model, not a curated record.